GAGUUUGAUCCUGGCUCAGAACGAACGCUGGCGGCAGGCUUAACACAUGCAAGUCGAGCGCCCCGCAAGGGGAGCGGCAGACGGGUGAGUAACGCGUGGGAAUCUACCUUCUGCUACGGAAUAACUCAGGGAAACUUGUGCUAAUACCGUAUGUGCCCUUCGGGGGAAAGAUUUAUCGGCAAAGGAUGAGCCCGCGUUGGAUUAGCUAGUUGGUGGGGUAAAGGCCUACCAAGGCGACGAUCCAUAGCUGGUCUGAGAGGAUGAUCAGCCACACUGGGACUGAGACACGGCCCAGACUCCUACGGGAGGCAGCAGUGGGGAAUAUUGGACAAUGGGCGCAAGCCUGAUCCAGCCAUGCCGCGUGAGUGAUGACGGUCUUAGGAUUGUAAAGCUCUUUCACCGGUGAAGAUAAUGACGGUAACCGGAGAAGAAGCCCCGGCUAACUUCGUGCCAGCAGCCGCGGUAAUACGAAGGGGGCUAGCGUUGUUCGGAUUUACUGGGCGUAAAGCGCACGUAGGCGGACUUUUAAGUCAGGGGUGAAAUCCCAGAGCUCAACUCUGGAACUGCCUUUGAUACUGGAAGUCUUGAGUAUGGUAGAGGUGAGUGGAAUUCCGAGUGUAGAGGUGAAAUUCCUAGAUAUUCCGAAGGACACCAGUGGCGAAGGCCGCUCACUGGACCAUAACUGACGCUGGAGGUGCGAAAGCCUGGGGAGCAAACAGGAAUAAAUACCCCGGGUAAUUCCACCCCCGUAAAACGAAUAAAAUUUAAGCCGUUCGGGGGGGUUUCCAUUUUGGGGGGGGCAGCAAAAGCCAUUAAACAUUUCGGCCUGGGGAGUACGGUCGCAAGAUUAAAAAUCAAAAGGAAUUGACGGGGGCCCGCACAAGCCGGUGAGCAAUGUGUUUAAUUCGAAGCAACGCGCAGAACCCUACCCAGCCCUUGACAUACCGGUCGCGGACACAGAGAUGUGUCUUUCAGUUCGGCUGGACCGGAUACAGGUGCUGCAUGGCUGUCGUCAGCUCGUGUCGUGAGAUGUUGGGUUAAGUCCCGCAACGAGCGCAACCCUCGCCUUUAGUUGCCAUCAUUUAGUUGGGCACUCUAAAGGGACUGCCAGUGAUAAGCUGGAGGAAGGUGGGGAUGACGUCAAGUCCUCAUGGCCCUUACGGGCUGGGCUACACACGUGCUACAAUGGUGGUGACAGUGGGCAGCAAGCGUGCGAACGCAAGCUAAUCUCCAAAAGCCAUCUCAGUUCGGAUUGCACUCUGCAACUCGAGUGCAUGAAGUUGGAAUCGCUAGUAAUCGCGGAUCAGCAUGCCGCGGUGAAUACGUUCCCGGGCCUUGUACACACCGCCCGUCACACCAUGGGAGUUGGUUCUGCCCGAAGGCACUGUGCUAACCGCAAGGAGGCAGGUGACCACGGUGGGUUUAGAGACUGGGGUGAAGUCGUAACAAGGUAACCGUA
RNAcentral lists this ribosomal RNA (1459 nucleotides) under uncultured bacterium. RNAcentral's name for it is "bacterial SSU rRNA". It matches the Rfam family "Bacterial small subunit ribosomal RNA". The record is from RNAcentral.